GAUGAAGAACGCAGCGAAAUGCGAUAAGUAGUGUGAAUUGCAGAAUUCAGUGAAUCAUCGAAUCUUUGAACGCACAUUGCGCCCCUUGGUAUCCCGAGGGGCAUGCCUGUUCGAGCGUCAUUUCACCACUCAAGCCUGGCUUGGUGUUGGGCGACGUCCCCUUUGGGGACGCGCCUCGAAACGCUCGGCGGCGUGGCACCGGCUUUAAGCGUAGCAGAAUCAUUCGCUUUGGAAGUCGGGGCCCCGUCUGCCGGAAGACCUACUCGCAAGGUUGACCUCGGAUCAGGCAGGGAUACCCGCUGAACUUAAGCAUAUCAAUAAGCGGAGGA
This 329-nucleotide unclassified non-coding RNA is filed under the name soil metagenome. RNAcentral describes it as "partial contains 5.8S ribosomal RNA, internal transcribed spacer 2, and large subunit ribosomal RNA". The stretch from base 1 to 120 matches the Rfam family "5.8S ribosomal RNA", at positions 35 to 154 of the family's 154-position model. The record is from RNAcentral.